AUACGGAGGGUCCAUGCGUUAUCCGGAUUUAUUGGGUUUAAAGGGUCCGUAGGCGGGAAAAUAAGUCAGUGGUGAAAGCCUGCAGCUCAACUGCAGAACUGCCAUUGAAACUGUUUUUCUUGAGUAUAGAUGAAGUGGGCGGAAUGUAUCAUGUAGCGGUGAAAUGCAUAGAUAUGAUACAGAACACCGAUUGCGAAGGCAGCUCACUAAACUAUUACUGACGCUGAGGGACGAAAGCGUGGGGAGCGAACAGGAUUAGAAACCCUAGUAGUCC
Molecule: ribosomal RNA, 274 nt
Filed under: uncultured bacterium
Lineage: Bacteria
Description: partial 16S ribosomal RNA
Rfam family: Bacterial small subunit ribosomal RNA
Source: RNAcentral